AUAUUGGGCAAUGGGCGAAAGCCUGACCCAGCGACGCCGCGUGAGGGAAGAAGGCCUUCGGGUCGUAAACCUCUGUCAUCGGGGACGAAGGAAGUGACGGUACCCGAGGAGGAAGCCCCUGCUAACUACGUGCCAGCAGCCGCGGUAAUACGUAGGGGGCGAGCGUUGUCCGGAGUUAUUGGGCGUAAAGGGCGUGUAGGCGGCCUGUUAAGUCAGGUGUGAAAUUUCAGGGCUUAACCCUGAACCUGCGCUUGAAACUGGCAGGCUAGAGGACAGGAGAGGGAAGUGGAAUUCCCGGUGUAGCGGUGGAAUGCGUAGAUAUCGGGAGGAACACCAGUGGCGAAGGCGGCUUCCUGGACUGUACCUGACGCUGAGGCGCGAAAGCUAGGGGAGCAAACAGG
RNAcentral lists this ribosomal RNA (401 nucleotides) under uncultured bacterium. RNAcentral describes it as "bacterial SSU rRNA". It matches the Rfam family "Bacterial small subunit ribosomal RNA", at positions 361 to 776 of the family's 1533-position model. The record is from RNAcentral.